RNAcentral lists this ribosomal RNA (482 nucleotides) under uncultured bacterium. Its description in RNAcentral is "partial 16S ribosomal RNA". It matches the Rfam family "Bacterial small subunit ribosomal RNA", at positions 30 to 507 of the family's 1533-position model. The record is from RNAcentral.
UUGAACGCUGGCGGAAUGCUUUACACAUGCAAGUCGAGCGGCAGCGCGGCCUUCGGGCUGGCGGCGAGCGGCGAACGGGUGAGUAAUGCAUCGGAACAUGCCCAGUCGUGGGGGAUAACACUUCGAAAGAAGUGCUAAUACCGCAUACGUCCUGAGGGGGAAAGCGGGGAUCGCAAGACCUCGCGCGAUUGGAGUGGCCGAUGUCAGAUUAGCUAGUUGGUGGGGUAAAGGCCUACCAAGGCGACGAUCUGUAGCUGGUCUGAGAGGAUGAUCAGCCACACUGGGACUGAGACACGGCCCAGACUCCUACGGGAGGCAGCAGUGGGGAAUUUUGGACAAUGGGGGCAACCCUGAUCCAGCCAUUCCGCGUGAGUGAAGAAGGCCUUCGGGUUGUAAAGCUCUUUCGGCAGGAACGAAACGGUGGGCUCUAACAUAGUCCGCUAAUGACGGUACCUGAAGAAGAAGCACCGGCUAACUACGUG